Molecule: ribosomal RNA, 484 nt
Filed under: uncultured bacterium
Lineage: Bacteria
Description: partial 16S ribosomal RNA
Rfam family: Bacterial small subunit ribosomal RNA
Source: RNAcentral
GACGAACGCUGGUGGCGUGCUUAACACAUGCAAGUCGAACGAUGAAGCCGGAGCUUGCUCUGGUGAAUUAGUGGCGAACGGGUGAGUAACACGUGAGUAACCUGCCCUUGACUCUGGGAUAACUGCGGGAAACUGUAGCUAAUACCGGAUACGACCCUCGGAGGCAUCUCCUGGGGGUGGAAAGAAUUUCGGUCAAGGAUGGACUCGCGGCCUAUCAGCUAGUUGGUGAGGUAAAGGCUCACCAAGGCGACGACGGGUAGCCGGCCUGAGAGGGUGACCGGCCACACUUGGACUGAGACGCGGCCCAGACUCCUACGGGAGGCAGCAGUGGGGAAUAUUGCACAAUGGGCGCAAGCCUGAUGCAGCAACACCGCGUGAGGGAUGACGGCCUUCGGGUUGUAAACCUCUUUUAGCAGGGAAGAAGCGAAAGUGACGGUACCUGCAGAAAAAGCACCGGCUAACUACGUGCCAGCCGCCGCGGUAA